Molecule: long non-coding RNA, 2938 nt
Organism: Mangifera indica (mango)
Lineage: Eukaryota; Viridiplantae; Streptophyta; Magnoliopsida; Sapindales; Anacardiaceae
Exons: 3
Source: RefSeq, a predicted model, not a curated record
UCCCUGAGGAAAAAUUUCAAGGAUUCCAAAAACUUUGUGAACUCUCACACAUUUAUAAAAACUACAUAAAAACCCAAAAAGUUAAAUUUGAGGGUGUUUUUAUUAUUUUCAUAAAUAGGUGAAUUUAAUAUUCAACUAUGAGAUUGAUCGUCCAUAUAACAGUUAGGUAACAGUCAGCUCCGUUUGCUUCAAACUCUCUUGCGCUUCAAUUUCGGUAACUGUCAAUAUCAAACUUGAAGUCAGCUUGACCGAUGGAGAAGAAGCAAAACAAUGUACUGGCCACGAACAAGCAUCAAAUCAGUGAAGAAGGGGCGUCGCACUUAGUGGGGAGUAUAAUCGAAAAGGGCAUCUCGGAUAAGCCUCAAAGCAAGUUUUUUUCACCCACUCCAACCCCUAAACCCACCGUUUUACCUUUUCCCGUCGCUCGCCACCGCUCUCACUGGCCGGUUACCUCUCUCUCUCUGUCUUCUUCGUUUCUAUUUAUAAGUGGUCUAGUUGAGGGCUUAGUUUUGUUUUGAAAAUUUGGGCAUGAAAUUACGUAGAGCAUUUUUUUUCUAGCCUUACGGCAGCUUUAAUUAGUUAUAUUUAGCUUUUUAUUUUUUUCAGAUUUUGUUGUGUUUGCAUGAAGUGCUUUGGGACAAAAUGGAAAAAAAAAAAAAAAAGAAGUAAGAAACUGGUAGUGGGUUUGGGGCGAUUUUAACACUAUUACAAGAACUUUCGAAGGGGUAAACUUGAUCUUGUAUUAAUUUUGCGGUGUUUGGAAGGAGUGUUCUUUAGGUAAAUCAAGUGCUGUUUAACUUAAAUUAUGUUUUAUGUGAGAUAAUGCUUGAAAUUACCAAGAAGGUGCUUUUGUAGAAAGUACAUUUACUCAAAACAAAUUAAAAGUGCUUCCGAAAAAAUCAAUUCCUUAUUCUACAUAUAUUUUCGGUGAGGUCAUGGGGGAUUUUGGUCUUCAACUGUUUUGUUAGCGCAAAUGGAGGCACGACUUCUUAUUCACUUGCUUGGAUCCUGCAAAUGAUAUCUGUCUUGGAGUUGCCCACAGAUGAAGAGAUGACUUUUGCUGUACAAAGUAUUAAUUCUACCUUAGGAAUAUGUUUAACUGCCGGACCAAGAGAUGAAAUGAUUGUGGAUAAGGCAUUAGAGAUAUUGUUUCAAGUCCCUGUUUUGAAGUACCUGGAUCUCUGCAUUCGAUGUUUUCAAUCUAAUAAACGAAUGAAAUUAUUUAGGUGGGAAUAUAAAGAAGAUGACUACGUGCUGUUCGGCAAAACAUUAAUUUCUCACUUCAAAAAUAGGGGUUUGGGUGCUAAGAAAAAAUCGAAAGCCAUUGUUGAAAACAGUAGUUCUGGCAAUAAAAGGUUUAAGAAGGGUGUAUAGCUCUGGACACCAUACCUGAGGACUUAGAUCCUUCAAAUAUUACAAGUCAAGAUCGUUGCAGUACCUCUUUGGCAGUAGAGUGGGCUUGUCAGAGAUUGCCACUUCCCAUGCAUUGGUUCCUCAGUCCAAUUUUGACCAUCAUUUCUGGCGAACAUGCUGGUCUUCAAAGUGCUUCUAUGGUAGACAACGUUGUGCAGGAACCUGAUGUGCUUUUAAUUACUAAAUUUGGACUUUUCUUUCUUUUGGGCAUUGAAGCUAUGUCCACCUUCUUAUCUCCUGAAGUCCCCUCCCCUGUUUGGGGUGUGGCUUUAUUUUGGAAAUUGCAUUCUUUAUCCAUGACAUUAGAUGCUGGACUGGGUGUGCUUGAAGAGGAGAAGAGUAGAGAUGUUUUUGAAGCCUUACAAGAGCACCAUGGGCAGUUGCUGGAUGAGUAAUGGGCUGGCAGAUUCCAUGAACUCAUUCCAGAGAUAAAUAUGAAUUUAUUACAGACAAGUGAGAAUUAUAAUGUAGAGCUUCUGAAGUUUCAGUCAGAGAUUCAUGAGAGUUACUCAACAUAUAUAGAAACUCUUGUAGAACACUUUGCUGCUGUAUCUUGUGGUGAUCUGCUAUAGGGCUGUCAACUUGGAGUGUAUUUACACCAUUGUGUUGAAGCUCCUGUGCGCCUUGCUGCCUGCAAUGCACUGUCAGGUGCUUGUGUUCUUGAACUUCUGCCACCUUUAGAGAAUUGUUUUGCUAAGGCUGAUGGUUACCUAGAACCUGCGGAGGAUAAAGAAGAAAUUUUGGAAGCAUAUAUGAAGUCAUGGACUUCUGAUGCCCUUGACAGAGCUGCAACUCGGAAGUCAAUGGCAUAGACACUGGUCCUGCACCACCUUUCAUCGUUCAUAGUCCUCUCGCAUGCCAGUGAUAAGUCAUUGCUAUGGAACAAGCUUGUAAAGUCUCUUCUGCGGGACUAAUCUCGCCAGAGGCAACAGGAGAGAAUAAUGUUUGAUCUUAUGCAAUAUAACAAACCAUCUCAAAUGCUCAAUCAAAAUGGAGAUUCACCACUGCAGCAGAGCAAUAUUGAUAAAAGAUUUGAGAUACUAACAGAAGCCUGCGAAGUAAACUCCUCUCUUCUGAUUCAGGUGGAGAAACUCAAGCCCAAUUUGACAGAUUAAAUUGUAUAUAACAGAGAAAGAAGAAAAAGGAUCGUUUUUUGUGGUGUAGGCAUUUUGCAAUCUAUUCAAUUAGGGGUUUAAUCAAAUUGAGCCGAAUGGUGCUGGGUUCAAGCUUGAAGACAUUAACAAUGCUCUUGCUCGAUAAAAAUCGAGCAGAACCCGGCUAAACACAGGCGGAACUGCAAGUGGCUCGGCUAGAUUACAUCCCUUUGUUCAACUAACCCCCUCUACCCCCUAGUGUUUUGCACUAUAAACAAGUUAAAUUGUUGUGAGAGAAAAAAAAUGUAAAUUCUUUUUAACAGGAAAGUAUUGAUUAUUGCCUUUAGAAUCAGAAUGUCAAUAUAUAGUCUGUUCCAGUUGCUUCAUAGCAGACCUUAUCAACGUUAUAAAUCCACCUUUCAUCUUUCGUA